RNAcentral lists this ribosomal RNA (232 nucleotides) under uncultured bacterium. RNAcentral describes it as "partial 16S ribosomal RNA". It matches the Rfam family "Bacterial small subunit ribosomal RNA", at positions 118 to 347 of the family's 1533-position model. The record is from RNAcentral.
CGAGCAAUCUGCCCUUCUCUUUGGAAUAAGCGUUGGAAACGACGUCUAAUGCCGAAUACGACCUCCUUUCGCAUGAUCGGAGGUGGAAAGCUCCGGCGGAGAAGGAUGAGCUCGCGGCCUAUCAGCUAGUUGGUGUGGGUAAUGGCCCACCAAGGCGACGACGGGUAGCCGGCCUGAGAGGGCGAUCGGCCACACUGGGACUGAGACACGGCCCAGACUCCUACGGGAGCAG